RNAcentral lists this unclassified non-coding RNA (353 nucleotides) under soil metagenome. Its description in RNAcentral is "partial contains 5.8S ribosomal RNA, internal transcribed spacer 2, and large subunit ribosomal RNA". The stretch from base 2 to 121 matches the Rfam family "5.8S ribosomal RNA", at positions 35 to 154 of the family's 154-position model. The record is from RNAcentral.
UGAUGAAGAACGUAGCGAAAUGCGAUAAGUAAUGCGAAUUGCAGAAUCCGUGAGUCAUCGAAUCUUUGAACGCACAUUGCGCCCCUUGGUUAUUCCGAAGGGCAUGCCUGUUCGAGCGUCAUUAUCACCCCUCAAGCCCUGGCUUGGUGUUGGACUUUAGUUAUAGCUUUGCCUAUCAACUGGUCUCAAAGAUAGUGACGGCGCCCCAGAGGGAACCGGGUACGAGGAGCUUUUUACUAAGCAUGUAUCUGGGACGACUCUGGGCGACGGUCUUGUUAUACUUUUUACCUAAGUGUUGACCUCGGAUCAGGUAGGAAUACCCGCUGAACUUAAGCAUAUCAAUAAGCGGAGGA